Molecule: long non-coding RNA, 6277 nt
Filed under: Triticum aestivum (bread wheat)
Lineage: Eukaryota; Viridiplantae; Streptophyta; Magnoliopsida; Poales; Poaceae
Description: long non-coding RNA (TAES_LNC018340)
Source: RNAcentral
UUUUUUUUCCUGAAUCUCGGGUGUACCUAUGUAUGUGAAAUAUUGAGUAAGCACAUGACACCAUGAAACUCUUCAGUGUGGCUGAGAAAAUAAAAUGAGCAAAAGUACCACGGAAUAUUCAAUAAAGUUAAAUCCUUAUCUUGAGAAACCAUAAUGUUUAUAAUUUAUGCCCCCAUGAAAAGUUCAUAAUUUAUGGAACACCAUUCAGUUUCAGUGAUCUCUCAUUGACCAUACGAAAGAUGAAACUCUAGAAUAAUUUAUAAAUGCAUCCAUACAAAUAUGUCCUUUACCUAAAAUCUAUUAUUCAUUCUUUUGGAUAUAGCUGACCAUUUAUGCUGAAUGGCCCUUUAUCUAAAAUCUAUAUGAAACACUUAUACAGUGUUUAGUAUAGAUGAAAUUAUUGCGGAAUUCAGGAAGAAAAAAAAGUGAGCCAUCACGAUCAGCACUAAAACAUGUAUAUGACUUACCUGAGAAACAUAAAUAUGCAUAUACCUUCAGAUCGUUGCAUGUGUGCGAAGUAAUCUGCGGUAACAAAUUGAAAAUUAGGAAGAAAAAACGUUCAGAGUUAGACUACAGAAAGCAACACAUCAAUUCGAAAUCCCUUGAGUUAUUGCAAAAAGAAAUUGUUUACCAGCUAGAACGCAAUGUGUAUAAUCUGUCCACCAGAAGCAUGAAAAAAGACAGCGAUUUCAGUACCCCUUUCAGGAAAGAUGCAAGAGAAUUUAUUAGAGAGAGAGAGAGAGAGAGAGAGAGAGAGAGAGAGAGAGAGAGAGAGAGAGACUUCAUAGAAGGUAAAAAUCAGUGGAAUAACUUCCUUCUUGUUAAUUUAUAAGACUUGGAACAAUGAAUAUACUCGAUUCAGUCAACUUUUAGUACCUACGUAUAACAUCAUAGACAACUAAAAGAGGAUGAACGGUGUGCUGCCACCUAUCCAUCACUGGCCUCGCCUCGUACAGCCACUCGUGCGUCCACCGCUUCCUUCCGCGUCUUGCCGUCGCUGCCGCCGGGGAGGGUUUCCUCUUGGAUGCGGCAGUUGCUAGUUGAGGCAUGGUGUCCAUUGCUGUUGGAUGAUUGUCACCAAACAAAUCAGUGUCACACCAAUCGCGGAAUCACUGAAUCCACGAACCAUAUGAUGCAUCUGCAAGGCUCAUCAAUUUACCUUUGAAUCCACCAAUCCACGAAAGGCAAAAAAAGAACUUCAAAUCUGGCUUCCCAUGUUCAGAUCGGGGCUCCUCUCACCUUCUACAUGGGCGAUGCGAAAGCUGGUACCGCCCGCGACUUCUCCGGCACGGCGCAGCGCAUCGGUAGAUCAGCCGGCAGGGCGUACGUGGACCGGCAGAAGGUGAUUGAGAAGGCGGGUUGCGCUGCGAGGCAGAGAAGGGUGCGGAGAGAUUAGCGGAUCGAGAUAUAGGAGAGGAUGCGGCAGUCCUUACUGCUGCUGGUGGUGGAUUGUCUUGGUUCGGGAGUUUCGGGAGUAAUAAAAUCGCUUCCCUAUUUGCUUAAGUCCUAAGACUUUUUCUAGUUCCAGACACUAAUCAAAAAAACUCUUCAAUAGAGUUUUUUUCUAGUCCCUAUAGAAAAAAUCCCUUCUGUUUGGUUCCUAGGGACUUUUUAGGGACUUUUCCUAGUCUCUGGGACUAAAAAGUCCCUGAACCAAACACCCCCUAACUCUUCGUUGGUUCAUAAGGCAAAAGAUCAAACGACUUGUCGCUUUGGUGACCAGGGAGAUGGCUACACGAUUUGUAUUUGUUCAUUAUUAUUUUUGGCUGCUGUGGCAUAUUUGCUGAGUUGGACAGGCUACAUGUCAAAUGUAAUAGCAUAGUGGGGAUGAACUAUUUAGUGGGUUGCUCCUAUUUAGGUGAUGAUGUGGCAUGGUGAUGAUGUGGAUAGUGUGCAUGUUGAGAGAAUAGAUAGAAGUGGGGAGCAACUUCUUAAGAAUGUUAGAUAACCUGAGAUGGACCAUGUUGCAAAGAAAUAUUCUGAGACUGGUUGGAGGGCAAAAUUUUAGUGGUAGCAGAGCGAUUGGGGUUGUAUUUUCUCAAAUGAAAUUUGAGCAUCCAACAAUUACAAUUUAUAGUUCGGGAAGGAGAAGGUAUAUACGGGCAUGAUUUCUAAUCGUGUGUACAUGCAUUCGCAAAAAUAGUCUCAAAACAUUCAAAUAUUGUAUACGUUGAAUGGGCCACGCACUUGAUUUUGACUUGUGUGUAAGAAAUGGCACUUUUAUAGGUUUUCCAUUCCGUGGUCAUCUCCUCUAUCACCUCUUGAUCGUGUUGUUUGUAUGCCAUGCAAGGUAAAUGUCAUACAGCAUUUUUCUCUGAUUAUCCUUUCCUUCCCUUUAUUAUUCCAUUUUUUUUGCAAACAGAUAAACCGUGUAUAAGAGAAAGUUGUUGCAUCCCAAUCACCCUGAAAAAGAUGGUUGUAUAUCAAUGAUUUCUUUCCUGCAUUGUUUCUGCUAGCGGUUACUAUAAGAGAGAGGUGUUGAAAUGACCGGUGAAGCAUGGAGAGAACACACUUAAUUGGUGAUUGUAUACAAGAGGGGUGAAAUGCAUCAUUCAAGAUAGCAGCCGACAAGCACGACCCAUAAAUGGUCCAUUUCUCCAGGCUAUUCGUCGUAGUCAGGUUUGAUCCGUUAAUUUAGACAAUUUGCUUCUUUUCUUAAGAGUCAUCUAGAGAUAUAUAUUAGUCCUAAGCAACAAACUAAAGCUGGGGAUGCUCUUGGUGCAUCUCUGGCCCUGCUCGUUGGUUGCCCACAAACACAUUAAAGAUCAACUGAAUGAGACAUUUUUGCACACAAAAGGUUUUGAUACAUAAUGAUUGUGGUCAACACAGCUUGUCAGUAUUAACUUUGUUUUCCACCAUGAACUCCUCGUACAUCUACUCGACACAUGGCGGCAGAGGCUCCAUUGAGACAUAUACGGGUCAGAUUUGCAGCACACGAAUUCGCCCCGCAAAUCUAAUCUGCAGCAAACUAUAAACGCGUUUUUCGGGUCUGACUUUUUACGGAGUCUGCUAUAGAUGAUCUAAUGUCGAGAUGUGUGCGCCAAAUUUCAGUUUGAAAUUUUUCACGCUUUGAAAUAUUUUUUCCGAUGGCAGAAGCGCGCGCUCCCAUGUGCCAAAGCGAAUUUCCGAAUAUGGAGUGCAAAGAGAAAUCUAAGCUAGAAACUCCCGCGUUAAUCAGAAAAUACUAUCUCUUCAUUUGGUGGACCUAUAUAAAUAAAAAUGUUGUAAAAGUUAGAUCUACAUAACAUGGAAAAUUUGUAGCCCGCUCGAUUUAAUGUUCCCUAUCGCUCCCUGUUAUGUCUGAAAUUACUAGUUAAGGGUUAUCCCUUGGAAAGGCCGCUCCCCACUUCUCAGACAUUGGCAGGUGGUGUACUACAUGUGUCACAUGUCGCAAACUGGGAGUUCUAUUUUUUUUCUAGAUUUGUUUAUUCAAACAUUUUAUCUCUUAAACUACAUGUCCAAAUGCCGAACCAUUUCACUGUUAGAUUUCUUGCGUCGAGAUCUUUGAUGCUAGAUCCGAUAUUAAUAGGUUUCAUCGAACUUCUAUUCAUGAAAAAAUGAAUACAAAAAAACAAAUACACGGAAAACAGAAGAGAAAAACCAGAGCCUGGAAGUACGUUUGCGGUUUUUCACUUUUCCCCCUUUUUCGAGAAGCAUAGUUGUGCAUCUCGCGAAAGCAAAUGUGCGCUUCCAUGAGAAGUAAAUAUGUGCUUCAUAUGGAAGCACAUUUUUUUUUCUUUUUGAGAAGCAGAGCUGUGCUUCUCGCAGAAAUAGUCUGUGCUUUCACAAGAAGCAAAAAUGUGCUUCUUGCGGAAACAUAGCUUCUUUCCUUUUCGAGAAGCACAGUUGUGAUUUGCAAAAAAAGAAUCUCCAAAUCAUAGGGAAAACCAGGCAAAAACUGAAACGCCGAAUGCCACGUCAAAAAAAACCAUCUAAAUCAUGAAAACACGUACAAAAAAAAUAAAAGAAAUCAAAAUACAGACGAAACGCCUAGCAUACAACGCGUGGCAGUGGCUGGGCGCACUCCUAUGCCACAUAAGUGAUCCCUGUGGGAGUCCAGUGAGGGGUAACUCUUAGUUAGUUGCUAUUUGUUAUGCCUCUGUCUACUAUAAGGACGCAGAGACCUCCUGUUCGAUGCCUUAUGUGACAGCUGGCAAUCCAGUGUUCACGCGCCACACUCGCGUGGGCCAUCACAACAACACACUUUCUGGAUUGCUCGCUUGUCCGCCCCAUUCGCUGGCUCGGUUGACCAUUUGACCGUUGACCAAGACUGUGGACUAUACACUUUUCUAUAAAAAGUUCACAAAAUUUUAUUUUAUUUUAAAAACAAAAUAACAACGAGUUGAAAAAAUCUUUAGAAAAUUGAAAAAUUGUUCCCCAAUUCAAAAAAAUCACGGAUUUGAAAAAGUUCAUGAGUUUGAAACCAAUAGUGAGUUUGAAAAUUUUCAUGAAUUUGGAAAUAUUCUGGAGUUUGUAAAAAAAUCAUGAGUUUGUUUUAAAAGUUCAUGAAUUUAUAAAAUGAAUAAAAAAAUAGGUCCACUAAUUUAUUAGAAGUUGACUAUUUUUUAAAAGUUCAUCUUUUUAUAAAAUGGAACUUAAAAACAAAAAGAAAAAAGAGGCAAAAAGAAAAAACGAACGAAAUCAAACUAAACUGACUAAAAAAACAAGAAAAUAAACACUAAAAAAACUGGAGCUUGAAGUUUCCUAAAACUACAUGGAAGCUUCCAUAGACCAGAGAGCUAGCUAGUGUCGGCCCGUUAGAAAGGAAGCGCCAGGCAGGGGUGUGUGCCACAUACCAAUAACAAACUACUUGGCGCUAUAAGCGCCAAAUAAAUAGGAAUUGGCAAGGACGCAGGGGACAACUUGGAUAUUAUCCUUUCCUCCCGAGACGCCUCUCCUCAAACCCUAGCGCGAGUAGAAUGGAUAUUAUCGUUGAUCUAGUUUCAGAUCGAUCAUACCGAGCCUUGAUAUAUGUCGCUACAUGGGGGAAGAACUAACCUGAUCGCCCACAUCUGUCUGCGGCUACAACGGCUGCUCGAUGUGGUAUUGUCCAUGGGUUCCACGUAGAGAUUCGAGGGAUGCAACGGAAAGGAUGACACAUGCAGAGUCGGGAAGGCCCGGCGAGCUGGUCGGCCCUUCCCAGGUGGCCAACACACUAGCCUAUGCAACAACAUAAGCUGAGCCAGAUACUUGCAGAUUCCAAGGUGCCUAAAUUUGUGUUGAAGGUUACACUUCUCCUUGCAUAUAUAGCAUGUGUCAUCGAGCCUAAGUCAUUAAUAUACUAAGGAGAGAAUAAAAAUAAGAAACAUCACACACAUCAUUUGCAUCAUCUUGUCGAGUUCAUAGUGCUUGGCAAUGGGACUUCUGUAUGGUAGGUGGCCGUGACCUUUUUUCUAGCUUGGCGGGGUGACUUACGUCUUGGCAGUGGCAUCUCGACUACGUCAACUACAUAGUCCCUUAGACCUUGUCAAACUCGGCUACGUCGCCCCGCUGACUUGAUUGAUCUCGCAUAUAUCUCUAGUUCUCCACGACACAACACGACAUCUAAAUCGUCCUUGCCAUUGUGUGCAAGUUUUUGCAAAUUGGUGUCCAAGUUACCAACUACCAACAUUUCUUAGAAGAUGAAGCAUUAGCGGCAGCGGAGAAUGACACGGCACAAACAGCAACAUGACCUCUAAGCGACAGGCUAAUGUUGCUCAAUUUUGGCUUGACAGUUCUCUUGCUAUGUGUGAGCUGAGGAAAGGCAAGUGAGACGGGAGUGUCUUGCUAUUUAAAUGUUCUCUUUCCUUUGGGUCGUUCGAGGGGCCCCAUUGUACUGGGCCCAUAUGCAUGUGCGAACGAGCGGGGCAAUGAAACACAAAUAAUAGAAACUCUAUUUUUUCUACCAAAGGAAUAGUGAGACUUCUAGGUCAAGCUAGUACACCCUCUUUCCGCAAAAAAAGCUAGUACACCCUCUAGUUUCACAUAAAGUGAGUUUUGAACAUGUCUUUAGUAGGAUUUAGACAACACGUAAGCUAAUGUUUUUGAUGAGUAAAUAGGCAGUUUUUCGAUUAAAUUAAUCCAUGAGCAUGACAUGGACAACAUUGAUAACACACUGAUUACGAUCUAACAGAGCAUGUACUACGCACACGCAUAUUGCUAGUACUGCUACAACAGAAAGAAACACGAGAGGGGGAUAAACGAUGUGUACUCUCCAAUCGGGAACAGAAGCGAGCAGUCGCGUAGUCGCUACCCAGUGAACGGGACGGAGUCGCCGGCGGCAGCAGAGGAGGAGGAG